GAUGAACGCUGGCGGCGUGCCUAAUACAUGCAAGUCGAGCGAACAGACGAGGAGCUUGCUCCUCUGACGUUAGCGGCGGACGGGUGAGUAACACGUGGAUAACCUACCUAUAAGACUGGGAUAACUUCGGGAAACCGGAGCUAAUACCGGAUAAUAUAUUGAACCGCAUGGUUCAAUAGUGAAAGACGGUUUUGCUGUCACUUAUAGAUGGAUCCGCGCCGCAUUAGCUAGUUGGUAAGGUAACGGCUUACCAAGGCAACGAUGCGUAGCCGACCUGAGAGGGUGAUCGGCCACACUGGAACUGAGACACGGUCCAGACUCCUACGGGAGGCAGCAGUAGGGAAUCCUCCGCAAUGGGCGAAAGCCUGACGGAGCAACGCCGCGUGAGUGAUGAAGGUCUUCGGAUCGUAAAACUCUGUUAUUAGGGAAGAACAAAUGUGUAAGUACCUAUGCACGUCUUGACGGUACCUAAUCAGAAAGCCACGGCUAACUACGUG
RNAcentral lists this ribosomal RNA (497 nucleotides) under uncultured bacterium. Its description in RNAcentral is "partial 16S ribosomal RNA". It matches the Rfam family "Bacterial small subunit ribosomal RNA", at positions 28 to 507 of the family's 1533-position model. The record is from RNAcentral.